GCUCUGCUGGCGCAAUUGGAAGCGCGUAAGACUUCUAAUCUUAAGGUUGCGGGUUCGAGCCCCGCGUGGAGCU
Molecule: non-coding RNA, 73 nt
Organism: Martensiomyces pterosporus
Lineage: Eukaryota; Fungi; Kickxellomycota; Kickxellomycetes; Kickxellales; Kickxellaceae
Source: the annotation of a GenBank genome assembly